GUAGUCUCGCACAGAUGCAUAUCAAUAAGCGGAGGAAAAGAAACUAACAAGGAUUCCCCUAGUAACGGCGAGUGAAGCGGGAAGAGCUCAAAUUUGAAAUCUUAAAGGGUUUCCCUUUACGAAUUGUAGUUUAAAGAAGUGUUUUCUGUUGAGGUUUUGGUAAAAGUUCUUUGGAAUAGGACAUCAUAGAGGGUGAGAAUCCCGUAUUUGACCUUUACUUUCAACUUUGUGAUACACUUUCAAAGAGUCGGAUUGUUUGGGAAUGCAGUUCAAAAUGGGUGGUAAAUUUCAUCUAAAGCUAAAUAUUGGCGAGAGACCGAUAGCGAACAAGUACCGUGAGGGAAAGAUGAAAAGAACUUUGAAAAGAGAGUUAAACAGUACGUGAAAUUGUCAAAAGGGAAGCGUUUGACACCAGUGUUGUUUUUCUGAAAAUCAAUAAAGAACUGUUUAUGCUAAGCUGUUUAGACUUUAUCAGCUAACUGUUUAGUUUUGAGCUUUUCUUUAAUGCACUUUUCAGUUAACAAGUCAACAUCAAUUUCUUUUGCUGUAAAAAAGCUUGAGGAAGGUGGCUUGAGAUUCGUCUUAAGUGUUUAUAGCCUCUUGCCUAUGCAGUCGGAGAGAUUGAGGUCUGCAGCGUAGAUCCUUCGGGGCUAAAUGCAUUUGUGCUAAGUUAUAGCAUUUUAUAGACAACUUGUUGACUAUGAUUUGUCUUGUAGCUUACUCGCUUAUGUUAUUUUACCUACGCUUAGGAUGUUGAUAUCGCGCUCUCACUG
Molecule: ribosomal RNA, 773 nt
Filed under: uncultured Neocallimastigales
Lineage: Eukaryota; Fungi; Neocallimastigomycota; Neocallimastigomycetes; Neocallimastigales
Description: partial large subunit ribosomal RNA
Rfam family: Eukaryotic large subunit ribosomal RNA
Source: RNAcentral